This 111-nucleotide ribosomal RNA is filed under the name Chitinophagaceae bacterium. RNAcentral also lists the same sequence under 1 other name. Lineage: Bacteria; Pseudomonadati; Bacteroidota; Chitinophagia; Chitinophagales; Chitinophagaceae. The record is from RNAcentral.
UAUGGUGGUUUAGCCGGGGGUGUUCACCUCUUCCCAUUCCGAACAGAGAAGUUAAGUCCCCCAUGGCCGAUGGUACUCGCGUUAAGCCGGGAGAGUAGGUAGCUGCCAUAU